GGACCAAAGCUUUUCAAUUCCUCGGUUUCUUCCUAUCAAUCUAAAAAUACUCUCUUUUUAAAUAUAAUUUUUAUUAAACAAAGAAAAUUUUUAAAUACAUGGUCCAUUGGUGGCCAUCAGAUUGAACAAUGCAGGGAAUUUAAGUAUCUGGGUGUAUAUUUUUCAGACACUCUAUCAUGGAAGCCCCAUAUAGAACAUAGCAGAGAAGUGGCACUAAAAUCUAUUGGAGGAAUCCUCAGAUUUUAUAACACAGCAGGGGGCCAUCUGGUUGCCCCAGCUCUGAAAAUAUUCCAGAGCAAAGUUAUUGCCCAGAUUCUGUACGGCGCCCCAGUCUGGGGAUGGGACGAUUCACAGAUACCAAAAUUGGAGGCCAUCCAGAAUACAUUCCUUAAGAAACUGCUGAGACUCCCACCUGGCACUCCAGCAGCCUUGGUCAGAGCAGAGGUUGGUUUACCCUCCAUAAGAUCUCGCAUUCACUUCUCCCUAUACAACUAUUGGAGAAUCGUAGAGGAUUCCCCAGCUAGGGUUUUCCCAAAGCUAUGCUUUGAACAUCUAUCUGAAUGCAAACCUUGGAGCUUAAAACAUCAGAAAUUGCUGAACAUAUACCCUACCCUGUCUCAUGAGCCUUCAACCCUGAGUUCAAGAGAGAAGUUGCAUGAAUACAUUUAUAACCAAGGUAUUCAAAUGGACAGGCAGGCUAUUAACAGCUCCAAAUUCUCAACAUGGUACAAAUUAUACAAACUCGACCAUGAAAGGGCUAUGUAUCUAACCAACCUUACAUUCCCUAACCUCAGGCAAGCUUUUACAGCUCUACGAUUCCAAAGCAUGCCCUCAGCAGUGCUGGAUGGUAGAUACUCGGGCACUCCUUUGCCUAGCCAGAUAUGCGUAUGCGGGGCCUCAGAAAUUGAGGACCUGCCCCACUAUUUGUUUGCCUGCACUCUAUACUCUGCACCAAGAAAUAAAUUCUUAGGGCCCAUUCUAUGGUACCUACGAUUGAAUACGGUUGCAAAAAAGAUCUUCUACCUUUUAUCUGAAACCAACUCCACAAUCACAUAUAAGGUCUCCCUCUCUCUUCUGCAGGAGUCUACCGGAUAUCAUGCAGCUGUGGACAAGUCUACAUAG
RNAcentral lists this long non-coding RNA (1122 nucleotides) under Anolis carolinensis (green anole). Its description in RNAcentral is "lncRNA (ENSACAG00000043034.1)". The record is from RNAcentral. Lineage: Eukaryota; Metazoa; Chordata; Lepidosauria; Squamata; Anolidae.